Molecule: non-coding RNA, 2341 nt
Organism: Anas platyrhynchos (mallard)
Lineage: Eukaryota; Metazoa; Chordata; Aves; Anseriformes; Anatidae
Source: RefSeq, a predicted model, not a curated record
AGGGCUAAAUUCUGCCAUAUUGGGAACAUUUGGUGCUACCUUAUAAUUCAAGAUCUCAAUACAUGCUCAGUUCAGGAUCUUCCCAUAUUUUUUAAUUAUCCAGCAUCCUGAGACUUCUGAAGAAGAACAUUUAAUUGGACAUUUUCACAGGCAACAGAGUGAGGAUCAAAAUGGUGAUUCCUGAAAAUGGAGCUAAGGUUUAUUACUGAGCAUAAGAGAGGCGAGUAACUGAAGGUGGCUGACAGAGAAAGUCAUGUUUUAAUAAGGACAAUUAGGGAAAACUCACAUUUAAGUAAACAAGGAUGAUUCUUGGAUAUAUUCUCAACCAAAGACAAAUCAUCAGCCUAUUUCCCCAGGUAGCUGCUUUGAUUAAAUGACAGCAGCUGAGGACAUUGCCUAUAGCUUAGCUUAGGGCUGGGUGAAAAGUCAGGACCCGGGGAUGGCUGGGUCUGGCAGUGCCCAGCACAUCUCAGCACCUGCCUCUUCACCAUGACUUUGAACAAGCAACCAUGGCCUCCAGCACAGCCAGAGAACAUGGGGAGAAAAAAAAAAAAAAAAGGAAGGAAAAAAAAAAAAAACUCCUCUCAAACCUUGACCAAAACUGUUCAAGUUUACAUUCUUUAACUUCUAAUAUUGGCACCGCUACUAAUGCUUUCACUCUGAGAGUGCUGCAUGCACAAAAAGAGAAAAUAAAGAAAAAAUGACAGAUGGAAAAAGUGUGCUUUAGCCACAGCUGUUUCCUCCUUCCUUCAAAAAAUGAAUUAAGUGCCUUAUAACCUAAGGGAGAAAAAAUGAUGGUUUUCUAAGUGAAAUAUGUCCUGUCAAAAUGUCGGCUAUAAAAAUGCAUAUUACUCAGUAAGAUAAUCUCUCAGAAUUAUUGCUUAAUGAUUUAGGAUUUGGGUUUUUCUUAACCAAUCAUUCUUAAUAUUUCCAUUACAGAGAAAAAAAAAAUAGUCAUUGGUGACAGAUUUUAUGAAAAGACAAAAAAAAAAAAUGUAGAAUAGAGUAAGGAAAACAGAGAAAAAAAAAAUAGGGAUUUCGCUCACAUGUGAUGGUGUGUCUAGUGUAGAUGGGAGGAAAAAAAAUGUAUAAUCAACUGCUCUGUUAAUUGAGGAGGAGAUUAGAGCACCUUCCCACCUGAAUCUCUGAGUAGAAGUUUCUGGCUGAGAUUCAUCCUCCCUAAUAUCAGAUAUUAGGUUUGUCUGUUAAGACAGAAAAAAGAGAGAUGCAGUGAAUUAUUUGUGUUUUAGGCAGACUGAAUGAUUCUUCAGGGAAGUUAAUUUCUUCCCAGCUACCUGAAACCCUAAAAAGACUGUUCUUAACACAAGUAUUGCACCUUGGUCACAGCAAUUAGGUGGGACAAUUGUAAUAUCAAAUGUUUUACAGAAAGGAGAAGAGAUCUAAAAGCAAAUCUGGUUUUAAGCAACACCUGAGCUUCAUCUACCCCAUUGCCACUUCAGAAAGCAUUCAUGGGGAGGGCUUAAAGCUGCUUUAUUGUACCUGGGGACAAGUAGUCAAUACAACCCAAAGAAUAACCAUUACUUCAAGAUCUGGUGAGGUUGUUAUGGGAUGCUCCACCUGAAGCUUUCUAAGUGACAGCAUCUGUAUUAAAGGCAAAAGAGUGGAAAGGACCCAGCUUCAUACUAACAGUGAUAUAAUGGCAUUGGUCAUCAGACAAAUAAAACUAUUUCGGUCUGAAAACUGAGUAGAGUUAAUAUGGAAACCAGUAGGAAAGAAUGGAUGGAGCCCUGGCUUUACAUUUCCUCAUGUUCCUGUUCCAUAAAUGUUCAUAUUUUAGCACACAAAUGUCUCUAUUUCCUUUUAUAAGGUAACUCAAAUGCAUAAAGCCAAGCAUAUUUGGAAAUGGUUGCCACACAUGGGUCUAAAACAAAAUUUAAAUAGUCCUUUAAGAAAUCUGCAACAGAAAAGUAAUUUGGAAUUGUAAACCAUUGCUGCUUGGAAUAGAAGACCCAUGUCAAAACAAAAUAAUCUGCUUAUCAAUCUUUAAUUGAGUUUUCGCAUGAGACAUGAGACAUCAGGUAUUAACAAAAAUAGACAGGUUUGAAAUAAGAAGCAGAUGGUCACCCAACAGUUCUUGUCUUGGAAAAUAAAUGAGAGGAAAGAAAAGCAAAUUGACUAGCACUGACGGUUUUAUAUACAGUAAUCUGGUCAGAGAUCUGGAAAUAGUUGACAAUUAAUUGAAAUAACACAUUGCAAAUUGUCACCGUAUGAUGAAAAAUCUUCAGGGGGAAAAAAAUGUUGUUUGGUCUGGAAAUUUGGAUUGUACUAAAGUCAUUGUAAGGAAAAAAUGUAACCCAACUCAACCCAAAUUUCCACAGAA